This 2906-nucleotide ribosomal RNA is filed under the name Enterobacter roggenkampii. RNAcentral's name for it is "23S ribosomal RNA". It matches the Rfam family "Bacterial large subunit ribosomal RNA". Lineage: Bacteria; Pseudomonadati; Pseudomonadota; Gammaproteobacteria; Enterobacterales; Enterobacteriaceae. The record is from RNAcentral.
GGUUAAGCGACUAAGCGUACACGGUGGAUGCCCUGGCAGUCAGAGGCGAUGAAGGACGUGCUAAUCUGCGAAAAGCGCCGGCGAGGUGAUAUGAACCUUUGACCCGGCGAUGUCCGAAUGGGGAAACCCAGUGUGAUUCGUCACACUAUCGUUAACUGAAUACAUAGGUUAACGAGGCGAACCGGGGGAACUGAAACAUCUAAGUACCCCGAGGAAAAGAAAUCAACCGAGAUUCCCCCAGUAGCGGCGAGCGAACGGGGAGCAGCCCAGAGUCUGAAUCAGCUUGUGUGUUAGUGGAAGCGUCUGGAAAGUCGCACGGUACAGGGUGACAGUCCCGUACACGAAAAUGCACAGGUUGUGAACUCGAAGAGUAGGGCGGGACACGUGGUAUCCUGUCUGAAUAUGGGGGGACCAUCCUCCAAGGCUAAAUACUCCUGACUGACCGAUAGUGAACCAGUACCGUGAGGGAAAGGCGAAAAGAACCCCGGCGAGGGGAGUGAAAAAGAACCUGAAACCGUGUACGUACAAGCAGUGGGAGCACCUUCGUGGUGUGACUGCGUACCUUUUGUAUAAUGGGUCAGCGACUUAUAUUCUGUAGCAAGGUUAACCGUAUAGGGGAGCCGAAGGGAAACCGAGUCUUAACUGGGCGUUAAGUUGCAGGGUAUAGACCCGAAACCCGGUGAUCUAGCCAUGGGCAGGUUGAAGGUUGGGUAACACUAACUGGAGGACCGAACCGACUAAUGUUGAAAAAUUAGCGGAUGACUUGUGGCUGGGGGUGAAAGGCCAAUCAAACCGGGAGAUAGCUGGUUCUCCCCGAAAGCUAUUUAGGUAGCGCCUCGUGAACUCAUCUUCGGGGGUAGAGCACUGUUUCGGCUAGGGGGCCAUCCCGGCUUACCAACCCGAUGCAAACUACGAAUACCGAAGAAUGUUAUCACGGGAGACACACGGCGGGUGCUAACGUCCGUCGUGAAGAGGGAAACAACCCAGACCGCCAGCUAAGGUCCCAAAGUCAUGGUUAAGUGGGAAACGAUGUGGGAAGGCACAGACAGCCAGGAUGUUGGCUUAGAAGCAGCCAUCAUUUAAAGAAAGCGUAAUAGCUCACUGGUCGAGUCGGCCUGCGCGGAAGAUGUAACGGGGCUAAACCAUGCACCGAAGCUGCGGCAGCGACGCUUAUGCGUUGUUGGGUAGGGGAGCGUUCUGUAAGCCGUUGAAGGUGUGCUGUGAGGCAUGCUGGAGGUAUCAGAAGUGCGAAUGCUGACAUAAGUAACGAUAAAGCGGGUGAAAAGCCCGCUCGCCGGAAGACCAAGGGUUCCUGUCCAACGUUAAUCGGGGCAGGGUGAGUCGACCCCUAAGGCGAGGCCGAAAGGCGUAGUCGAUGGGAAACAGGUUAAUAUUCCUGUACUUGGUGUUACUGCGAAGGGGGGACGGAGAAGGCUAUGUUAGCCGGGCGACGGUUGUCCCGGUUUAAGCAUGUAGGCGGAACGAUUAGGUAAAUCCGGUCGUUUUUUAACGCUGAGGUGUGAUGACGAGGCACUACGGUGCUGAAGUAACAAAUGCCCUGCUUCCAGGAAAAGCCUCUAAGCAUCAGGUAACAUCAAAUCGUACCCCAAACCGACACAGGUGGUCAGGUAGAGAAUACCAAGGCGCUUGAGAGAACUCGGGUGAAGGAACUAGGCAAAAUGGUGCCGUAACUUCGGGAGAAGGCACGCUGAUAUGUAGGUGAAGCCCCUGCGGGUGGAGCUGAAAUCAGUCGAAGAUACCAGCUGGCUGCAACUGUUUAUUAAAAACACAGCACUGUGCAAACACGAAAGUGGACGUAUACGGUGUGACGCCUGCCCGGUGCCGGAAGGUUAAUUGAUGGGGUUAGCGGCAACGCGAAGCUCUUGAUCGAAGCCCCGGUAAACGGCGGCCGUAACUAUAACGGUCCUAAGGUAGCGAAAUUCCUUGUCGGGUAAGUUCCGACCUGCACGAAUGGCGUAAUGAUGGCCAGGCUGUCUCCACCCGAGACUCAGUGAAAUUGAACUCGCUGUGAAGAUGCAGUGUACCCGCGGCAAGACGGAAAGACCCCGUGAACCUUUACUAUAGCUUGACACUGAACACUGGUCCUUGAUGUGUAGGAUAGGUGGGAGGCUUUGAAGUGUGGACGCCAGUCUGCAUGGAGCCGUCCUUGAAAUACCACCCUUUAAUGGCUGGUGUUCUAACGUAGACCCGUGAUCCGGGUUGCGGACAGUGUCUGGUGGGUAGUUUGACUGGGGCGGUCUCCUCCCAAAGAGUAACGGAGGAGCACGAAGGUUAGCUAAUCCUGGUCGGACAUCAGGAGGUUAGUGCAAUGGCAUAAGCUAGCUUGACUGCGAGAGUGACGGCUCGAGCAGGUGCGAAAGCAGGUCAUAGUGAUCCGGUGGUUCUGAAUGGAAGGGCCAUCGCUCAACGGAUAAAAGGUACUCCGGGGAUAACAGGCUGAUACCGCCCAAGAGUUCAUAUCGACGGCGGUGUUUGGCACCUCGAUGUCGGCUCAUCACAUCCUGGGGCUGAAGUAGGUCCCAAGGGUAUGGCUGUUCGCCAUUUAAAGUGGUACGCGAGCUGGGUUUAGAACGUCGUGAGACAGUUCGGUCCCUAUCUGCCGUGGGCGCUGGAGAAUUGAGGGGGGCUGCUCCUAGUACGAGAGGACCGGAGUGGACGCAUCACUGGUGUUCGGGUUGUCAUGCCAAUGGCACUGCCCGGUAGCUAAAUGCGGAAAAGAUAAGUGCUGAAAGCAUCUAAGCACGAAACUUGCCCCGAGAUGAGUUCUCCCUGAGACUUUAAGUCUCCUGAAGGAACGUUGAAGACGACGACGUUGAUAGGUCGGGUGUGUAAGCGCAGCGAUGCGUUGAGCUAACCGAUACUAAUGAACCGUGAGGCUUAACCUU